GUGCUUGCUUUGGCAGCACAUAUACUAAAAUUGGAACAAUACAGAGAAUAUUGGCAUGGUCCCUGCACAAGGAUGACAUCCAAGUGUUUAAACAUAAAAUACUUUA
Zalophus californianus (California sea lion) is the source of this 106-nucleotide small nuclear RNA. The record is from Ensembl. Lineage: Eukaryota; Metazoa; Chordata; Mammalia; Carnivora; Otariidae.